Molecule: ribosomal RNA, 388 nt
Filed under: Chlorodendrales sp.
Lineage: Eukaryota; Viridiplantae; Chlorophyta; Chlorodendrophyceae; Chlorodendrales
Description: partial small subunit ribosomal RNA
Rfam family: Eukaryotic small subunit ribosomal RNA
Source: RNAcentral
AUUCCAGCUCCAAUAGCGUAUAUUUAAGUUGUUGCAGUUAAAAAGCUCGUAGUUGGAUUUCGGAUGGGAUUUGCCGGUCCGUCUUUGAGAUGUGUACUGGUAAGUCCUAUCUUGUUGUCGGGGACUAGCUCCUGGGCUUCACUGUCCGGGACUAGGAGCCGACGAAGUUACUUUGAGUAAAUUAGAGUGUUCAAAGCAAGCCUACGCUCUGAAUAUAUUAGCAUGGAAUAACACGAUAGGACUCUGGCUUAUCUUGUUGGUCUGUGAGACCAGAGUAAUGAUUAAGAGGGACAGUCGGGGACAUUCGUAUUUUAUUGUCAGAGGUGAAAUUCUUGGACCGUCUGAAGACUGACUACUGCGAAAGCAUUUGCCAAGAGUGUUUUCAUUG